UACGUAGAAGGCAAGCGUUAUCCGGAUUUAUUGGGCGUAAAGAGGGUGUAGGCGGUUCUUCAAGUCGGAUGUAAAAUCUCCCGGCUCAACUGGGAGGGACCAUUCGAUACUGUUGGGCUAGAGUGCAGCAGGGGAAGAUGGAAUUCCCGGUGUAGUGGUGAUAUGCGUAGAUAUCGGGAGGAACACCUGUGGCGAAGGCGGUCUUCUGGGCUGUUACUGACGCUGAGACCCGAAGGCGUGGGGAGCGAACAGGAUUAGAUACCCCCGUA
This 269-nucleotide ribosomal RNA is filed under the name uncultured prokaryote. RNAcentral describes it as "partial 16S ribosomal RNA". It matches the Rfam family "Bacterial small subunit ribosomal RNA", at positions 524 to 792 of the family's 1533-position model. The record is from RNAcentral.